AAUCAUCAACUCUUUGUUUCUUUUUCGAGAGAAACCGAGAGCUUGGACUUGGAGGCUUGUGCUGGCUCUGUUUUUAUGGGUCGGCUCCUCUUGAAUGCAUUAGCUUGAACCUUCUGCUGUAUCGGCUGUUCGGUGUGAUAAUUAUCUACGCCGUGGCUGUGAGGCUUUAAAUCUGUGGGCUCAGCUUCUAACCGUCCUUUGAACGGGGACUACCGUGUAAAGGUAUCAUUGACCUCUGACCUCAAAUCAGGUAGGA
This 256-nucleotide ribosomal RNA is filed under the name Ganoderma gibbosum. Its description in RNAcentral is "partial internal transcribed spacer 2". The record is from RNAcentral. Lineage: Eukaryota; Fungi; Basidiomycota; Agaricomycetes; Polyporales; Polyporaceae.